This 293-nucleotide ribosomal RNA is filed under the name uncultured bacterium. Its description in RNAcentral is "partial 16S ribosomal RNA". The record is from RNAcentral.
GGACUACCCGGGUAUCUAAUCCUGUUCGCUCCCCACGCUUUCGCUCCUCAGCGUCAGGUAAGGCCCAGAGAACCGCCUUCGCCACCGGUGUUCCUCCCGAUAUCUGCGCAUUUCACCGCUACACCGGGAAUUCCAUUCUCCCCUACCUACCUCUAGUCUGCCCGUAUCCACCGCAAGCCACGAGGUUAAGCCUCGGGUUUUCACGGCAGACGUGACAGACCGCCUACGAGCUCUUUACGCCCAAUAAUUCCGGACAACGCUUGCGCCCUACGUAUUACCGCGGCUGCUGGCAC